Hydra vulgaris (swiftwater hydra) is the source of this 391-nucleotide long non-coding RNA. RefSeq lists it as uncharacterized. The record is from RefSeq and is a predicted model, not a curated record. NCBI's taxonomy places the organism in Eukaryota, Metazoa, Cnidaria, Hydrozoa, Anthoathecata, Hydridae.
GAUUCUUUAACAGAUAAUCUUAGCACUAUUAUUAUAGAUUUCUUGAGAUUUCUUGAAUCAACAAGGUCUACCAUUUAACCAUCUUCAUCUGGUACAGUUGGUAAGUUCUAAAAACCUGUUAUGCAUUCCUUAUCAAUGCAAUAUUUAUUUUUUACAACAAUCUUUUAACCUUAGUUCUAACUCUAACUGCAACAAGUGGUAAGUUUAAAAACUAUUACUGUGUAAUAUGUGUAUGCAUUUCUCAACAAUUGCAAUAUUUAUUUUCUAUUAAAACUUUUUAAACUGAGGAACAUCCUCAUCUGAUACAAUGGAACAUCCUCAUCAAUUGCAUUAUUUGUUAUUUGUUUUUUAUUAACUUUUUUACCUUAGUUUUAUCGUCUUCUGCAUCAAG